This is a long non-coding RNA of Astatotilapia calliptera (eastern happy), 1616 nucleotides long. The record is from Ensembl. NCBI's taxonomy places the organism in Eukaryota, Metazoa, Chordata, Actinopteri, Cichliformes, Cichlidae.
GAAAAGGGGCAUUAGUCACCUCAUGAGGAUAGAGAGGUGAAAAAAAAAUUCCUCUCACGCAUACUCUCCAUAUUGCAUAGUAACAAUUUUAACUGUUCCUGCAGGAUGCUGAUGCUGACAUUAGGAUGGAGUGUAUACUUAAAUCUCUCAUUAUCUACCUUGGAGAACACGUUGAGGACUUGAUAAAAGAAUACAUGGUAUGUCCAUAUCUGUUCUGUCUCUACAUGAGAUGCAGUCUCUUGAUGUAAAUUUGACAACUCUGCUAUUAAAUGCAGUGAUUAAUGUAGGACAGCAACGAUUAAUCAACUCAUCAAGUUAAUAUCUUAGGGUUCUGUAUUGUUUUCUUUCUUUUUUUUCUUGGGCUUUGUGGAACAUUUAUGAAAAUAUUCCACCAUUGAUUUAAUUUAAUGAUUAUGCAAUUCACAAUCUGAUUAGUCAAAUAAUUGUUCUAAUAGUCUGUGACCAAAUAACUAUCAAAAUAGUAGUUUAUUAUGGUCAAAGAUUUAUCAGGUGUGCCAGACUUCAGUUCUUCACUUGUACAUUUUGUUCCAUAUUUUACCUCAAGAUAUCCCAGAAAGAUGAAGCUGAGGAAGAGCUGCAGAGUACCACCAUGGCACUCUUCGUCUUCAGGGACAACUCAAGCCUCCUACAUCAGCCUCGAGACAUCAGGAUAAUCAUUGAUGGUGUGGAAGUCCUGAAUGAGUUGCCUUCUGUGGCAGCUGGAGUGGCAAUGGUCUUUGGACUCUGUUAUGCUCUUAAUAUGGAAUAUCCACGAGGAUUCAGGUUCACCUUUGAGGCUCUUCAAAAGAUUAUGAUGGAGCUUGACUUUAACAAGAUGACCUCUAAGAUUCGCAAACUUAAUUGUGAACUUAACACUGCACAGUAGUGUGUUUGCAUGCAUGUGUGGAUGUGUAUGUGCACAUGCAUGUGCAUGUGUGCUUGGUUAUUUUGCUUGGUUGGCCUGCAGUGGUAUUCUACAUUCAAAAUUUAUAAGAACACCCAUUUGAAAGGGAGAUUUAAGUUGAUUUCAUUGAUACAUGUGUAGAUUUUUUUUUUUUUUACAUUGUACAGGCACAGUGCACAUAUAAACAUUUUUGAGUACUUGCAAAUUGGUUUAAAAAUAGUUUUUAUAAUGGUUUUAUGCCAGUUUUAGACAGGUUGCAGGUUUUAUACUGGUUUUCAAAAGGUUGCAGGUUUUAUAAAACAAACAUUUCUCUAAUCAUUUCUGCCGUAGCACUAAAUCUGUAUAUUACUAAUCCACUGUAUUGAUUAUAGUUAAAAUGGUUUGGAACAAUAAAUAAUUUUGAAAUAAUUGGUUGGCCAAUUGUCUUGUUUUUUAUAGGAAAUGCAGAGCAUUUUUGAACUGAAAUAAAAUGAAAUGUAAAAAAUAUAGUUUGAAUAUAUGUAAAUCAAUUACCUGGCUUCAACACAAACAUAUUAGUUCAUGUUAAUUUAGUUUGAUGUGAAUACAUUAGGUUGGUUAAAUUUCAACAUAUUAGCUUGGUUCAAUAAUUAAAUAUGGUUCUAUGUAAAAAAAGAAAAAAAAUCAAUUUGGAUCAAUGCAAAAUUUAAAGUUUCAGUCAAGUCUAGUAAUAUUGUUUAUAUCAACAUAAAAG